RNAcentral lists this transfer RNA (74 nucleotides) under Candidatus Stahliibacteriota bacterium. RNAcentral's name for it is "tRNA-Val". It matches the Rfam family "tRNA". Rfam says of the family: Transfer RNA (tRNA) molecules are approximately 80 nucleotides in length. Their secondary structure includes four short double-helical elements and three loops (D, anti-codon, and T loops). Further hydrogen bonds mediate the characteristic L-shaped molecular structure. tRNAs have two regions of fundamental functional importance: the anti-codon, which is responsible for specific mRNA codon recognition, and the 3' end, to which the tRNAs corresponding amino acid is attached (by aminoacyl-tRNA synthetases). tRNAs cope with the degeneracy of the genetic code in two manners: having more than one tRNA (with a specific anti-codon) for a particular amino acid; and 'wobble' base-pairing, i.e. permitting non-standard base-pairing at the 3rd anti-codon position. The record is from RNAcentral. Lineage: Bacteria; Candidatus Stahliibacteriota.
GGGCGAAUAGCUCAGUUGGUUAGAGCGCCGGUCUCACAUGCCGGAGGUCAGAGGUUCGACUCCUCUUUCGCCCA